GCCACACCGAGCGAAACCUAUGGGGAGCUGCUCGGCGGGGCGGCUUUGAUGAUUUCUUCAGACACAUGGAGCAGACUGACAAAUGGACUCUCAAGUGAAAGGUUGAUUCAUUGUCCUUUGGUUACCUGCCUCCUCCCCCUGCUGCGGUCAGACAUUUCAGACUUGUCAAAGAAGCAAUGGGCCUACCAAGUUGAGCAAGACAACUUCAAUUAUGAAAAUUAUGAUUGGAGAAGUUUUAGCCACCUAUCUCUUCUUCUCCCAUAAGUUACCUGUGGUCAGCCACGGUCGGGAGGCGGAUUAUGCCUGUGAUAACAGAAGGUCAAUGGUAGCCUAACGCUACCCGUCCUUCACCUCACUUCAUCUCAUCUCAUUUUAUCAUCCCAUGUCACCACAAGAA
Molecule: long non-coding RNA, 397 nt
Organism: Leopardus geoffroyi (Geoffroy's cat)
Lineage: Eukaryota; Metazoa; Chordata; Mammalia; Carnivora; Felidae
Exons: 4
Source: RefSeq, a predicted model, not a curated record